Molecule: ribosomal RNA, 3263 nt
Filed under: Ambystoma mexicanum (axolotl)
Lineage: Eukaryota; Metazoa; Chordata; Amphibia; Caudata; Ambystomatidae
Description: eukaryotic LSU rRNA
Rfam family: Eukaryotic large subunit ribosomal RNA (bases 762-3263)
Source: RNAcentral
UGGAAGGACCAUCGGGGUUGGAGCUGUGGUACUUGCCAAUGGAGGAGGUGUGGCUGGAGUGGGAGCAUCCUGAAUUCAGAGUCUGCAGAGAGGGAAUGCUGGACACUCUGUAUGGAAUCUAGCCUUUGGUGAAUCACCGUGUUUGCGGUGGCAUAUCUGCCCUUAAUACUGUAAUUGCCUGAACUAAAGCAGCUAUGGGUUCUUCCGUGGACCCCUGCAUUAUCCAACACGACUAUACGGCUUCUCAGUCUGUGCUGACUUGAGUGUCGUGUAGACCGUUGAGACCUCCAUCCCCAAGUGACGCACAGGGGAACUGAAAAAAAACCCCGCUGUGCGACCAUUGGAGCCACAGGUGGGAGAUGUUACUUCCCGGAUCCACGGAAUUUCUGGAACACCGAUGCUGCUGCAGAAAGAACGAGGUUAAGUACCAGGCAAAUACAAUAUAACACAAGAAUCAGAGGAUCUGAAUAGUCUUACCUAUCCAGUGAUUGGAAAGCCCGGGAAACCUAGUGAAGGAGGUUCGAGACUCAGAUGAGAGGCGGUCCCCAGAACAACAGGGAACGGAGUCAAGCGUGGACACAGGAUAGCCCACCUAUAGAGCUGAAGACGUAGUUUGAGUUCCCAAAGUGCAAUGGCGUAGAAGUCCAACAAAGUACCAAGGGAUGAUCCGAAAACAGGUGAGGGACGGGGUCGAGGUUCAGCAAUGGGUAAACAGUUCCAAGCAAAGGUACAAAAGGGUAAUCCGAAAGAGUCCAGGUGAAAUAUCCAAGAUCAAGGUAAACCAACCAACAAAGUAUAUCAAACGUAUCGCCAAACAGAGUCGAAAGAAAGCUGAGAAGCGGUGAGUGCUCCGUGCAUUAAGCUUUAUAUACUGUGCGCUUCUGAGUCAUGUGACGUCCACCAUGGUCACGUGGGAAACGCCGCUCUGAAUCAAGUGAGCAAAUGAAUGAUCUAUGCGGAGGUGUUCCGCCGCCCCUUCUGCCGUAUGUUCUCCAUGGCAACUGCCAAUGCAGGAAGGGCUGCAACCGGGCACGUACAUUGUACCUGGUACAGAGCUUUCGGUCCUUUGGGGUAACCACAUCACGUGAGUCUCGAACCCUGGAGGGAGUAGUGUGGGAACCCGGGGAAGGUGUUGUGGAGAUGUUAGCAGUGUUCUGGUGUGCAGAGGAGCGUCUAACAGUGUGUAACAACUCACCUGCCGAAUCAACUGGCCCUGAAAAUGGAUGGUGCUAGAGCGUCAGGCCCAUACCCGGCCAGCACUGAGAGCUGCAGAGGCUAAGUCAGGCGAGUAGGAGGACUACUCCGGUACACACAGAAGCCCGGGGCGAGGGCCUGGGUGGAUCCGCCGCAGGUGCAGAUCUUGGUGGUAGUAGCAAAUAUUCAAACGAGAACUUUGAAGGAUGAAGUGGAGAAGGGUUCCAUGUGAACAGAAGUUGAACAUGGGUCAGUCAGUCCUAAGAGAUGGGCGAGUGCCAUUCGGAAGGGAUGGGCAAUGGCCUCCGUUGCCCUCAGCCGAUCGAAAGGGAGUCGGGUUCAGAUGCCCGAACCCAGAGUGGCGGCAUCCAGUGCGGUAACGCAAAUGAUCCCAGAGAAGCCGGCAGGAGCCGCAGGGAAUGUUCUUUUCUUUGUGAAGGGCAGGGCACCCUGGAAUGGGUUUACCCGAGAAAGGGACCCAAGCCUUGGAAAGCGUCGCAGUUCUGGCGGCAUCUGGUGAGCUCUCGCUGGUCCUUGAAAAUCUGAGUGAGAUGUAAAUCUCGCGCCAGGCCGUACCCAUAUCCGCAGCAGAUCUCCAAGGCGGACAACCUCUGGCAUGUCGGAACAAUGUAAGUAUGGGAAGUCGGCAAGUUAGAUCCGUAACUUCAGGAUAAGGAUUGGCUCUAAGGGCUGGGCUGGUCGGCUGGGGCACGAAGCAGGGCUGAGUGCGCACCAUGGCUGGAUGCGGCGUCUUCCCCCCCAGGGGGGCGGCUCUGCCUCUGGAUGCGAGCCGGGCCCUUCCUGUGGAUCACCCUAGCUGCAGUGUUCGACUCUCUCAUUCCCGCUCCUGGAGUUCAGGGCCGGCAUUCUGCCUCGGCCGACACCUAGCAGCUGACUUGGAACUGGUGCGGACCAGGGGAAUCUGACGGUUUAAUUAAAAAAAAGCAUUGCAAAGGUCCGUGGAGGGUGUUGACACAAUGUGAUUUCCGCCAAGUGCUCUGAAUGUCAAAGUGAAGAAAUUCAAUGAAGCGUGGGUAAACGGCUGAGGUAACUAUGACCUUUAAGGUAGCCAAAUGCCUCGUCAUCUAAUUAGUGAUGUGCAUGAAUGGAUGAAUGAGAUUCCCACUGUCCCUACCUACUAUCUAGCGAAACCACAGCCAAGGGAACAAGCUUGGCAGAAUUGUUGGAGAAAGAAGACCCGGUUGAGUUUGCCUCUAGUCUGGCACUGUGAAGAGACAAGAGAGGUAGGAUAAGUGGGAGGCCCUCGGGCCGCUGGUGGAAUACCACUACUCUUGUUUUUCCACUUUCCCGGUGAGGUGGGGGGCGAGCCCUGUGGGGCUCUCGCUUCUGGCUCCAAGCGCCCGUCACCUGCCGAGCACUACCCUCUCCGGGGACAGUGGCAGGUGGGGAGUUUGACUGGGGUGGUACACCUGUCAGAGGAUAAUGCAGGUGUCCUAAGGCGAACUCACAGAGGACAGAAACCUCCGGCGGAGCAGAAGGGCAAAAGCUAGCUUGAUCUCGAUUUUUCAGUAUGAAUACAGACCGUGAAAGCGGGGCUUCACGAUCCUGCUGACUUUUUGGGUUUCAAGCAGGAAGUGUCAGAAAAGUUACCACAGGGAUAACUGGCUUGUGGCGGACAAGCCUUCGUAGCAACGUCGCUUUUUGAUCCUUCGAUGUCGACUGUUCCUAUCAUUGUGAAACAGAAUUCACCAAGCGUCGGAUUGUUCACCCACUAAUAGGGAACGUGAGGUGGAUUUAGACCGUCGUACCCUACUGAUGAUGUGUUGUUGCAAUAGUAAUCCUGCUCAGUACGAGAGGAACUGCCGGUUCAGACAUUUGGUGUGCAUGCUUGGCUGAGGAGCCAAUGGGGAGAAGCUACCAUCUGUGGGAUUAUGACUGAACGCCUCUAAGUCAGAAAUCCCCCCACCCCAGACCGUGAUACCGCAGCGCUGUCGAGCAUCGGUUGGCUUAGAAUAGCCAGCCUUGGCGCCGGUGUGUAGAGCUGCUCGUCUGGGACUUGAGUGUGGACAGAAAUGGGCCACCUCUCUCACCCGUAAUGCACCGGAUGU